RNAcentral lists this ribosomal RNA (237 nucleotides) under Triticum aestivum (bread wheat). Its description in RNAcentral is "partial small subunit ribosomal RNA". Lineage: Eukaryota; Viridiplantae; Streptophyta; Magnoliopsida; Poales; Poaceae. The record is from RNAcentral.
AUGUGCCUGGAGAAGAUUGGAGAAGUCUCUUACAAAUUACAUCUUCCAGAGGGCAACAAUAUACAUCCAGUGUUUCAUAUCAGUCAACUGAAGAAGCACAUAGGCCAUCAAGCUGUUCCAUUACCACACGUCCCACUAGUGACUCCAAAAGGAUAUGUCAAGACCAUUCCAGUGGCAGUUUUAGACCGAAGAGUCAUACAAACGAACAAAACACCAGUGAGGCAAUGUCUAGUAUAG